This 253-nucleotide ribosomal RNA is filed under the name uncultured bacterium. RNAcentral describes it as "partial 16S ribosomal RNA". It matches the Rfam family "Bacterial small subunit ribosomal RNA", at positions 524 to 776 of the family's 1533-position model. The record is from RNAcentral.
UACGUAGGGGGCAAGCGUUGUCCGGAAUCAUUGGGCGUAAAGAGCGUGUAGGCGGCUCGAUACGUCUGCUGUGAAAGUCCAGGGCUCAACCCUGGAAGGCCGGUGGAAACUGUCGGGCUAGAGUCCGGAAGAGGCGAGUGGAAUUCCCGGUGUAGCGGUGAAAUGCGCAGAUAUCGGGAGGAACACCAAUGGCGAAGGCAGCUCGCUGGGACGGUACUGACGCUGAGACGCGAAAGCGUGGGGAGCGAACAGG